RNAcentral lists this ribosomal RNA (474 nucleotides) under uncultured bacterium. RNAcentral's name for it is "SSU rRNA". It matches the Rfam family "Bacterial small subunit ribosomal RNA", at positions 26 to 518 of the family's 1533-position model. The record is from RNAcentral.
AGGACGAACGCUGGCGGCGUGCUUAACACAUGCAAGUCGAGCGGAAAGGCCCUUCGGGGUACUCGAGCGGCGAACGGGUGAGUAACACGUGAGCAAUCUGCCCUUAGCUUCGGGAUAGCCCCGGGAAACCGGGAUUAAUACCGAAUAUGACCUCGGCCGACAUCGGCUUUGGUGGAAAGUUUUUCGGCUGGGGAUGGACUCGCGGCCUAUCAGCUUGUUGGUGGGGUAAUGGCCUACCAAGGCGACGACGGGUAGCCGGCCUGAGAGGGCGACCGGCCACACUGGGACUGAGACACGGCCCAGACUCCUACGGGAGGCAGCAGUGGGGAAUCUUGCGCAAUGGGCGAAAGCCUGACGCAGCGACGCCGCGUGGGGGAUGAAGGCCUUCGGGUUGUAAACCCCUUUCAGCAGGGACGAAGCGAAAGUGACGGUACCUGCAGAAGAAGCGCCGGCUAACUACGCGCCAGCAGCCGC